UAGGGAAUCUUCCGCAAUGGCCGCAAGUCUGACGGAGCAACGCCGCGUGAGUGAAGAAGGAUUUCGGUUCGUAAAACUCUGUUGUUAGAGAAGAACAGCGCAUAGAGUAACUGUUAUGCGUGUGACGGUAUCUAACCAGAAAGCCACGGCUAACUACGUGCCAGCAGCCGCGGUAAUACGUAGGUCCCGAGCGUUGUCCGGAUUUAUUGGGCGUAAAGCGAGCGCAGGCGGUUAGAAAAGUCUGAAGUGAAAGGCAGUGGCUCAACCAUUGUAGGCUUUGGAAACUGUUUAACUUGAGUGCAGAAGGGGAGAGUGGAAUUCCAUGUGUAGCGGUGAAAUGCGUAGAUAUAUGGAGGAACACCGGUGGCGAAAGCGGCUCUCUGGUCUGUAACUGACGCUGAGGCUCGAAAGCGUGGGGAGCGAACAGG
RNAcentral lists this ribosomal RNA (428 nucleotides) under Bacteroidota bacterium. Its description in RNAcentral is "Bacteroidetes bacterium partial 16S ribosomal RNA". It matches the Rfam family "Bacterial small subunit ribosomal RNA", at positions 355 to 776 of the family's 1533-position model. The record is from RNAcentral. Lineage: Bacteria; Pseudomonadati; Bacteroidota.